Octopus sinensis (East Asian common octopus) is the source of this 1385-nucleotide long non-coding RNA. RefSeq lists it as uncharacterized. The transcript is spliced from 2 exons. The record is from RefSeq and is a predicted model, not a curated record. NCBI's taxonomy places the organism in Eukaryota, Metazoa, Mollusca, Cephalopoda, Octopoda, Octopodidae.
AUUAUUAUUAUUAUUAUUAUUAUUAUUAUAUAUAUACAUCAAUCUAAAUUUUAUUUUGUUGACUUUUUUAAAAGUCAGCAUUAGCAUGGAUUGUGCAAGAGUUGUGCUAAUGUAAGUUAAGAACUAUGUUGGUGCAGAUUGUUGAUAUAAAUUAAAAAUUAGUGAUGAAAUUUAAAUAUAAAGGGCUGAUAUUUAAGAAUGUUGUAGUCACACUCUCUCUCACUCUCUUUCAUCCUUUUAAAAACAAUCUGCCUAUGAAAUGUUAACGGGUGUAUGUGAACAAACAAGGUAAAAAGACAAAAAAGUUGAGUACCACACAUGCAUUAUGCUAUUAAUUCUGUAUUAUAGUCCAAAUAUAACCUACUAAAUCUAUAAAGUUGAAAUAGUUUUAGUUUACAUGUAAAUUUGUAACAGUUUGGAAACCAAUUUCGAAAUCAGUUCCAUAGGGUAAACAUGGUAUUUACUUUUAUUCUUUUUCUUUAUUUGCUGUUUUGUACAAACAUGAUCUCAAAGUCCAUGCUCAUCAAUAUAUAAUAGUUUUGGUAUAGCAUUACUAAAUAUUUAUAAUAAAAAUUCAUGAACUGCCCUAAAAGAAAAAUUUUCAUCAAUUAGAUUUUUCCUCUCGUUUCAUAGAAAAUACUAAAGAGAGUUUUUGCCUAUUUUCUUAAAAUUCUUUGAAGAGAAAAACUUAAUUUGUUUCAUUUCCUUGAAAUGCAUUCGAAAGCUAUACAUAAUACUUCUGCAAUGUCUGUUAUGUGUGCAAUGUGUGUUGUGUGUGCAUGUGUGUGUCUUUAUGUGUAUAAGAAUAGUAUAUCCAUAAAGCAGAGUAUGUGUGUUGUCAAAAAGAUGUUAUUUCUUAUCUUUCCAAAUUUCAUGAUCUUCAUUAUUCUCAAGCAUCUGGACUAUUUAAUCAGUACAUAUUUUGUCCAACACUGUGAGAAAAUGUUAAACUUACGAAGGGAAGAAAAACUGCAAUAAUUAUGAUUUUUUCCCUUUUAAUAUAUGACUGUUCAUUUAAAAAAAAAAUUGCUUGAAAUAAUUGCCUCCAUUAGCUACAAACUGUAACAUGCAUACAUGCUUAUAGUUUGAUUUAUUUCUUAAGAAAGAACACUGAUACAAAUAGAAACACCAAACACAACAUAUAUAGUGAUAAGGGACAAGCAAGAAAGGUAUUAGUUAUAUGUUGACUUAUAUCUCAUACAGUGCCUUGCAUUAGAUUAAUGAGUGUUGUUAAAAAUUUGCUGCAUUUGUUCAUGAAGAAAUGCAACAAUUUUUUUUAUACAUAAUAAUCCUUUGUUGCCAAUAUUAAUCUUUUUUUUUUAACUUUCCAAUAUUUUUCUUCGUACAAGAUGGUGUAAUAAUAAAGCAUUCUUUUUAAUAUUUUA